Toxorhynchites rutilus septentrionalis is the source of this 5554-nucleotide RNA transcript. It is a transcript of the gene named adenylyl cyclase 78C, with no coding region annotated. The record is from RefSeq and is a predicted model, not a curated record. The transcript has 12 exons. Lineage: Eukaryota; Metazoa; Arthropoda; Insecta; Diptera; Culicidae.
CGGUGUUUGGUCGUGUUUUGGCUUCCGGCAGAGGACACACAACAGGCAGGAGCAGAGGUGUCUGGCAGUUUGGUGAGCAGAUGGUUCAAGUGGUUUGAAAGAGUUGUGCCACAGACCAGAAACUCAUGUUUGGGUUUGUUAUCUAAUUCGCUUCGUGUGAUAUUCAAGUACAUUCUCUACUGCCGCUGAUUUUUAGAGGUUUCAAGAGCACGCAGAUUUCUCCACGGACACGGCUUUUCACGCUCUAGUGUAUCGGUAGUGUCGGGAAUGUAUGCGCGGGAAAUUUCGCCGCAAAGAUAAAGCAUGUAAAGCAUGUCAAUGGUUGAAAGAGGCUUCGGGUCAAGGCUGAAGAACCGCAGAUGCUUCAUUCGGACGACAUGGUGAAGAUUAACUUGUACUUGUGCAAUAAUAUUUAUUUAAAUAACAAGUGAUUCCAUUUCAUGUGUCGUAAAUCAUAGGCAGGGAGGGAGAAAAUACAUAAAAAGAUGAUAAGUGAAACGUUGAAAAUUGUGUAGUAACGGUCAAACUUGGAAUCAUUCUGGCGAACGAAAUGUGUUGAAUGCUUCAUUAAAGUGAUGUGAGUUGACCAAAAAUAGCACAAAUAGCAAUCCUGGAAGCAGUGAGAAGUAAUUGCAGGAAGAAAAAGUGCCAUAUUUACAUUUGAUGUUGGAAUCUAAUUAUUCUCUCCGCGUGGGUGCCAAAUGUUCUCAUUUGUGGAAAAGUAUAAAUAGUGUUGUUUGGAAAAGGCAGGAAGCGCAUGAAAAAGUAAGGUCGUUUUCGCGGGAUGGAUGGAAAUAGUGGCAGCUCUAUGGUUGCACUGUGGACGAUUCGACGGCCAAGUGUUGAAUGUUACGGUCAAGAGUAGCAGUGCAGCUUCAAAGGAUACAUUUCUAUCUCAUCAAACUGAAUAUUAAACCAUCAAACCACUCGAAGCUCUGAUGCACAUCUGCUAGCUUACGGAGUGAAUAAAUUGUCGUUAAUCAUGGAGCUGCUAGUAUCGCAAAAGUCCGACCAGGACUCGAAACAUCCCCCAGGCUCCCGCCGAUCCAGCAGUGGAAUCGAAAACCUAGCGGCUACUUUGGAUCUCGACGCCGAUACCGACAGUAUUAUUAGCGAUAUAACAAAAAUUCCACGUGCCCCCGGUGAUGGUGCCCAUGCGGACGACGUUGACCAAAAUGUUUGUCCAAAGCAUCUCGAAAGACGUGCACAAGAAAGACUUCCUGCGCUGGCCUUACAGCAGCAGCAGCAGCAGCAACAUCAAAAAACAACCACGAUAAGCAACGGAGAGCUGCGGCAAUCCGCGGCGAUAAGUGAGAUUAAUGGGAACGAUACUCGAGACAACAAACAAAAGCCGAAUGGUGUAACCACCCCGGUAUUGACAGACAAUGGCGGGGGAGAAAAUGGCGGUUUUUGUCCCCCACCUCCAGAUGGCGGAGGUGAUGACGAAGGUGGAGGGACUGGAAAUGGCGAAGAGGACGGUGGUGUUAAUGGGAACAAUCCAGCGCUGCCACCACUCAGCAGCAACACCUAUGCUGCCUUCAAACGUGGCAACGUGGUCAAGGGCAUCUUGUGUCCCUCGAUGACCAAUUCUUUCCGAGCACCGUCCCUCGAGCGAUCCUAUCUAACUUAUUCUCAUCGCCAGCGCCAGAAAUCGCUGAUCCUUGUGAACGUGGUGGAUUUGGCGCUCAAAAUUGUCUUGGCCUCCGUUUGGAUAGGCUUCAAUCAUCCCACGACAAUCAAAGCGAACGAGAUUACCUGGUCCGUGUGCUGCGUGAUAUCCAACUUCCUGAUCUGUGUGCUCGGGAGCUGGCGGCUGUUUGCCAACAACUAUCUCCACUGGGCCGCUGUGUGCACCUGGCUGCUACUGAAUCUGCAGGGUUUCAUCGGUGAGGGUCUUGGUUUCGCCGAGCGGGAGUACCUCAUAUGGUACGUUCUGUUCAUAAUUUUUGUGCCGUAUGCUAUGCUUCCGCUGCCACUCAAAUGGUGCAUGAUAGCCGGUUCGGUGUCCGCCGUCUGCCAUCUGAUCGUGACGACGAUCAACAAAUUCCUGCACGAAACGAAUACGACAUGCAUCAUACGCCAGAUGAUUGCCAACCUGUUGCUCUACCUGGCGAUUAACUUCGCCGGCAUGUACACCAAAUAUCUGACCGAUCGUGGUCAGCGGUUGGCUUUCAUCGAAACCCACAAAGCCAUGGAGCAUAAGCGCGAGUCGGAGAAGGAGUACCAGCGUACUCAACGUCUGCUCGAUUCCAUUCUACCGAUGUUCGUGAACAAUGAUAUCCGCAAGGAAAUGUACAAGUCCCCGGAACAGCAGGCCCAGGUUGACACCCAGUUCAAGAAGCUCUAUAUCUAUCACAUGGACAACGUGAGCAUCUUGUUCGCAGACAUUAAGGGGUUUACCGAGCUGGCGAGCAAAACAUCGGCCCAGCAGCUGGUCAAGAUACUGAACGAUCUGUUUGCACGCUUCGACAAGAUCGCCGAGGACAACCACUGCUUGAGGAUCAAGCUGCUAGGGGAUUGCUACUACUGUGUGUCGAUGUUCGACAGCCAGAGCUGGAAAAGUCGGCCGGAUCAUGCCGUUUGUAGCGUCGAGACCGGCCUGCACAUGAUCAAGGCCAUCAAGGAUGUGAGGGUGCAGACGAAUGUGGUUGACUUGGAUAUGCGAAUCGGAAUCCACAGCGGGUCCGUGAUGUGUGGAGUACUUGGCGAGAAGAAAUGGCAUUUCGAUGUAUGGUCCAACGAUGUGAUAAUAGCGAAUCAUAUGGAAUCAGGUGGAGUCCCAGGGAGAGUGCACAUCUCGGAAGCAACACUGAACUGUUUGAACGAUACAUAUGAAGUGGAGCCAGGGAAUGGCGCGAGCAGGGAUGGUCACCUGAAAAUGAUGAACAUUAAGACAUAUCUUAUCAAACGGACUGAACCGCUGCGACCACGAAAGAGACUGAUGAAUCGGAUGAGUACGCUUCAGUUUGAGAAAGAAGCCAUCAACAAGAUAAAUGAGACCAAAAUUAGGAAAGACUCUAAAACUCCGAGCAUCGCUUCCAGCGGAGCAAAUAACAACAAUAACAUAACGAAGCGUUGUUCGAAAGCUACAAUACAUGAAGAUGAGCCAACGACAGAUUGGACUCCGGAAAUACCGUUCAAAAAUCUGAACCACGUUGGAGUAACUACCGGUGAGAGCUUCCGAGACAAACAGAUCUGUGACCUCGAAGAUACGGUCGUAUCUUCGGAAGAGGUGGAUGAGAUCAUUGAUCAGAAUAUUCAAAUUAAUUCGAACAAGCAGAUGCGAAUGGAGUAUCUCUACACGUGGACAUUGAAAUUCAAGGAUUCCUCCCAAGAGGGAACAUUCUGUCAGCUGCGGGAAGAUAUGUUUCGCUCUAACAUGUUGUGUGUUUUUGUUGUUUGGAUAUUCAUCGUUCUGUGCCAGGUGAUGAUCAUUCCAAAGUGCACGGUGUUGAUUGUGUCACUUUCGAUCACAUCUCUUCUGUUAUCCAUCGGCUGCGUUUUAGUAAUGGCCGAAGAGUUUUCCUCAUUGCCUGCAUUCUUGCAGAAGAGCUCUUCCACGCUGGUUCACGAUCGAAAACGUCGGACGGUUUUCGUUUGCGUUACCAUUAUUCUCAUGUCUGCCGCAAGCUCAAUGGGACUAGUCAUGUGUGAUCUGAACGAAACCACUCCAAAUGCUACAACUUUGACUAAACAACCCACUGUAGCUUUCUUGUCCGAUGGAACUAGGCAAGAGAUUCAACUCAAUCUAACCGUAACGGCUACCAUAAACCAGAACGUGAUACUGAACUCGCACAAAGUGGUGAACCUGGAUCUGGAAAGCCUGCUGAACGAACAAAAUAGAACUUUGAAUGACUUGAGCGAACAGGAGCUAACAUUAUAUGGGCUAAGCAAUGUCCAGAUAAAACAGCCUGAAGCCUACAGGAUUUCGUCAAUGAAAGAUGGUAAUACAGAGAACACAUCGCUCGAGUAUGAACUAAAAAAGAAACCAAUCCAUGUGCUUCCAACCAAACCAGCACAGUUAGCAUCCAAUCCUGUUUGCGUCCAUCCCGAAUACGUAGUGUUCACCUGGGUGCUCUGUCUCAUCUCUCUAGCUACAGCCCUUAAACUAUAUUACCUCGUGAAAACUUUCAUGGCGAUCAACAUGGUCGCAUGCUACUCCAUCCUGAUCCUGCUCGUCUUCGAUGAAGCAUUCGAUACGUACGACUCGCAGUACAUGCAGGCUAGCGGCAUGCCACUGGCCGCUCAGAUGAUGAUUCUGUUGGUAGUCUUCCUCACCAUGGUAACAUACCACGCAAGGCUCGUCGAGGUCACCUCCCGGCUGGAUUUUAUCUGGAAGGAACAAGCCGAGAAAGAGUUGUCCAACAUGAAAUCCAACCGGCACCUGAACGACCUGCUGAUAAAGAACAUUCUGCCGGAUCACGUCGCUUCGUACUACCUGUCGGAGGAACGUGCCGACGAGCUGUACGCGCAGAUGCAUGAGCUAUGCGGUGUGAUGUUUGCCUCGAUUCCGAACUUUAAAGAUUUCUACUCGGAAGACAUCGAGAAUGGGAAGGCGUGCAUCAGAAUCUUGAACGAAAUCAUAUCCGACUUCGAUUCGUUGCUCGAAGAAUCACGGUUUGCAACGGUGGAGAAAAUCAAAACGGUAGGCGCAACGUACAUGGCGGCGUCCAAUUUGUGCUCCGGUAAAAAGACAAAAGUUGACGAAAAAGAUGAGGAAGCAGUAUGCGAUUUGGUAGAAUUUGCACUGGCCAUGCGGCAGAAACUUCAAGAGGUGAACAAGGAUGCAUUCAACACGUUCCAGCUGAGGGUUGGUAUCAGCAGUGGACCGCUGGUGAGUGGAGUUAUCGGUGCUAGGAAGCCGGUUUACGACAUUUGGGGAAAUACCGUAAAUGUGGCGUCCCGGAUGGAUUCGACGGGGGAAAACUGGAAAGUGCAGGUCCCGGAUUACACGGCAGCCUUGCUGCAGAGCAGAGGUUAUACUUGUGUGCAACGCGGCGAGGUGAAUGUUAAAGGGAAGGGGCUUAUGCUAACCUACUGGGUGCUGGGCAUGAAUGUGUCUGCUAGUCAAUUAACCUCUCCUGCGCUGAUGCCCGCAGGACAACCGCAGGCUCAAACGCCCUCCCUGCAAAGACAAACUUCGCAGCACAGUUCACUUGCGGCUGUUGUCUUCGGUAUGAUGCAAGCCUCCAAACGAAGCAAUCUAAACACAACCCGUGGCUGGAGCCGUGCUAAAAACCUGACCGUCCAUAGGAUGCGUUUGCUGUCACCCAACCGGCACGCCUUCUCCGAGAACCCGAUUCGGGCGACGGGGAAGCACAUUCAGCUCAGUACGAUUGAGUCAGAAAGUCCAGUCUAACAAUCCGAUCCGGCGGAACACAACCCGCGUGCGGGCCCGGGGUUACACCAUGAAAAAGUCAACUAUUCCCCACUCGCCAACGAUACAAUUCCCAAGCGGUACCCCCGCGGAUAACAAUGUGAUACCAUCCUUCCGUCAGCUGCACCAAAACGCCAAAGACGAUCCUCAGACUGGGUUGUAAAAUUGACUUGACUG